ACGGGAUGCCUUAAGGUAACNAGCGAGUGAAGCGGCAAAAGCUCAAAUUUGAAAUCUGGUACCUUCGGUGCCCGAGUUGUAAUUUGGAGAGGGCAACUUUGGGGCCGUUCCUUGUCUAUGUUCCUUGGAACAGGACGUCAUAGAGGGUGAGAAUCCCGUGUGGCGAGGAGUGCGGUUCUUUGUAAAGUGCCUUCGAAGAGUCGAGUUGUUUGGGAAUGCAGCUCUAAGUGGGUGGUAAAUUCCAUCUAAAGCUAAAUAUUGGCGAGAGACCGAUAGCGAACAAGUACAGUGAUGGAAAGAUGAAAAGAACUUUGAAAAGAGAGUGAAAAAGUACGUGAAAUUGUUGAAAGGGAAGGGCAUUUGAUCAGACAUGGUGUUUUGUGCCCUCUGCUCCUUGUGGGUAGGGGAAUCUCGCAUUUCACUGGGCCAGCAUCAGUUUUGGUGGCAGGAUAAAUCCAUAGGAAUGUAGCUUGCCUCGGUAAGUAUUAUAGCCUGUGGGAAUACUGCCAGCUGGGACUGAGGACUGCGACGUAAGUCAAGGAUGCUGGCAUAAUGGUUAUAUGCCGCCCGUCUUGAACCACGGACCAA
Molecule: ribosomal RNA, 588 nt
Filed under: Saccharomyces cerevisiae (brewer's yeast)
Lineage: Eukaryota; Fungi; Ascomycota; Saccharomycetes; Saccharomycetales; Saccharomycetaceae
Description: partial large subunit ribosomal RNA
Rfam family: Eukaryotic large subunit ribosomal RNA
Source: RNAcentral